Molecule: long non-coding RNA, 1638 nt
Organism: Spinacia oleracea (spinach)
Lineage: Eukaryota; Viridiplantae; Streptophyta; Magnoliopsida; Caryophyllales; Amaranthaceae
Exons: 2
Source: RefSeq, a predicted model, not a curated record
AGUAAAUUUACCUGAAGCAUGGAAUUUCUGGUAUAUAAAAUCAUUCGAAGGAUUGUGAGAUAACUCCAUUGCCAAAAUAUCACUAGCAUCUUUCCAUUCAAAUUUUUGUCUAACCAUAUUUGUCUUCCAAGACGUACCAUUAUGUUCAACAAAGUUCUCAACCCUCCACUUUCUCGAGUCUGCUAGUAAUUGGCCAGAACGUACCACUGGUAUUCUUCCAUAAACCAAGCCAUGCUAGCCGUUAGAACACUCUUUUCGUUUGCUAUCUUCCAGAUGCAACAUCCAUGUGGGCUGAAAAUCACCUGUACCUCCAAAAGAUUAUGAUGCAACCUCAUUGCUUGUUUAAACAACAAUAAACCUGAUCAAAUGUCGGGCCGGGCCGAGGCAUAAAAACCAGCCCGCUAUGUCGGGCCGGGUCGAGCAAAGAUUCAGGCCAAAAAAUUGACCCCAAGCCCGCUAUUUUGGGCCUAAAAUAAAUUAGCACUACUUGGUGAAAUAGGUUCUUUUAGCAUCAAUUUCGAACCAUCUGCUAGAGGUUGUAACAAUCCGAACGAUCCCACUACAUCAGGACCUUUUCAUACAAAAUAAAAUAUAUUUUGUAGUUGAAUGCAAAUAUGUCGAUAGAGUUUUGUUAUUGUUGGUAUGCUCAGUGAUGACUUGGAUCAUUUAUGUUGGGUUUGGUCAAAAUAAAUUGGUUAGAAUUAUUGAUGGAAAAUUAUUUUUGGGUACUAGUUUAUUUCCCUAGAGAACUGAGAUUGUAUAUUGAGCGAGUUAUAUCAUUGUGGUAAUUUUUGCCUUUAUAGAGAAGUAUAAUAUGUAAAUCGUGAUGGGUAGUGAUCAGAUUAUGAGAUUAGCAAAAGAUCGAGAAUUUUAUAUUAUUGGAUUGAGGCUCAGUGUUAUAGACCUUAGUCCUUGGCAUGUUGGUAAUGAGAUGAUAACCAUUAGUAGAGGAGCAAGAUACAAUCUUUAUUAUUUUCUUAAUAUCCCGAUAGUGGGAUUUGGUCCAAAAGUGUCAUUGGCUCAGUGAGUCUUUCUAGUAGCUAUUGAGAGUUUCAAGUUUUUAUACUUGUUGGUUUAUUUAUUCGAAUUACCCAUGUUCAAGGCUAGGUAUAGAACAACGAGCGCGCAUGAUAAAAUCUAUAGUAUUUAUAUAGUAUGAAGUUAGUUUUAUCUUUGGGAUAAUACUUAAAAUAUAGUUUCAUACUACAUUGUUUACUUGAGCCUUUAUUAUUCUAUAUUAGUAUGUUUCUGUUUGUAACAAGUGAUUACUCAGCUCUUUUUUGACGUGUGUGUUUAUUUGUUAUGUGUGUUUGUGGCCAUGUCUUUUUCUUAUGGUGGUCUUGCGACGAUCCUUUUGGAAUUUCUCCUCUAUGGUGAGCAGUUAAGAUUGACUGGAGCAUUGCUCGUGAAGGAUGCAGUUACAAGUUGAAGGAGCUCAAGUAUUAUCGUUUAAUCUUUUAUGACAGUUUAAUACUUUUCAGUUGUACAGUUGUAAAUAGAUCACCUAGUAAUCGAGUUGUAAUAAUUUAAGUUUUGUGAGCCUUAGCACUUGACAAUAUGGUCAAAUGUGGCGGUGAUACCUCCGAUUUAGGUGUAAGAUUCCGCAAAUUUUUAUAAAGUCUUUUAUAUUCUUAUUCA